Molecule: transfer RNA, 80 nt
Filed under: marine eukaryotic metagenome
Rfam family: tRNA
About the family: Transfer RNA (tRNA) molecules are approximately 80 nucleotides in length.
Source: RNAcentral
GGGAUGUGGCGGAAUCGGUAGACGCGCUUGAUUCAAAAUCAAGUGACUUAUGGUCAUGAGGGUUCGAGUCCCUCCAUCCC